AAAGCCCCGAAUUCAUACCUCAACUUGGCGGAAGGGAAUAUGAAGUCAGGGCCAAGCAUAAAACCUAAGAAGGAUAUUAGCACAUGCACAGUGCAAGACAACAGCCCGCCAGAAGC
Molecule: non-coding RNA, 116 nt
Organism: Erwinia tasmaniensis
Lineage: Bacteria; Pseudomonadati; Pseudomonadota; Gammaproteobacteria; Enterobacterales; Erwiniaceae
Source: Rfam